Pimephales promelas (fathead minnow) is the source of this 1159-nucleotide non-coding RNA. The record is from the annotation of a RefSeq genome assembly. NCBI's taxonomy places the organism in Eukaryota, Metazoa, Chordata, Actinopteri, Cypriniformes, Leuciscidae.
CUGCAUUUAAUGCACAGCAUUGUCCCCAAAAGCAUAAGCAAAGAUGACUAGUAUUCUUCCAAGUGUUUGUGUUUCUCUAGUGUGCCUCACAGCCUGUCUCGCUGAAACUGUUCUCCAGUCUCCUGGAGACCUCAUACAGAACCAAGAUGAACCUGCCAUGAUCAAAUGUGCACACAAUAUAAGGAGUUACGAUCGUAUUCUUUGGUACAAAAAGGACAUGGGCUUUAAGUUAAUGGGAUACCUUAAUCUUGAAAAUGACUACCCAGAGCCUGAAUUCACAAACAAGAUCAAACUGAGCGGAGAUGGAAGAAAUAAUGGCAAUUUGAUGAUCAACAGCCUCAGACUGAAUGACAGUGCAGUGUAUUUCUGUGCAGCGUAUUACACAGUGUUCACAAUCACCUCUGACUCAUACAAAAACCCUGCGAUACCAAAGCUUCAGCUUAUCUGUGGCUGCAAAUUCAACUCUACACCUGGACCUUCUAAAUGCACGGCAGGAAAUUGUUGUAAUCCUAAAAGCUGUGGAUAGGGGGCGCUGAGGGUCCAUACUAGACUACAGCCAUGAUCAUGUUGCAACGCUAAAAGGGGAUGAGGAAUCAUAUCAAACCAAACUUUAUUUUUUUUCACUCCAGUCUAUAUCAACAUGAUCAGAGUCCUCUUUGUCUCGCUAUUUUUGCUAACAGGUUCUGUCGUCAAUGGCAGUGUUCAACAAAGUCCGUCAAAUCGAAUUAAAACCGAGAGAGAUUCUGCUGAAUUUGUCUGCACACACAACAUCACAUCAUACACCAUGAUCUUCUGGUACAAACACACACGAGGACAUGCAUUUACAUUACUGGGAUAUAUCUGGAAUAAAAAUUAUUUUCCAGAGGAUGAUUUUAAAAAUAAAAUCAGUUUGAAUGGUGACGGAACCAAGAACGGAUCCUUAAAAAUCGUAGAUCUUGCUCUGAGUGACAGUGCGAUGUACUUCUGCGCUGCGAGUUUACACAGUGUGAUGUGCACUCAUGACACAAUACAUAAACUCUGAAAACAGCAGAAUCAUGAAGCGUCUGCACCUGCUCAACAGAUCUGAUACACACAUGCCGGUGGCAGUCGUGUGGUCUGAAUAUCAAUAGGAAAACUUAUACAGGUCACAUAAUGAAUUCACAUCUUGUUUGAUGAAAUU